Molecule: unclassified non-coding RNA, 477 nt
Filed under: Hevea brasiliensis (rubber tree)
Lineage: Eukaryota; Viridiplantae; Streptophyta; Magnoliopsida; Malpighiales; Euphorbiaceae
Source: RNAcentral
GUCGUAAUGGAGUGAUCAAUGCUAAACUAAUUACAAGAGAACGACACCAAGCAACAGAAGCAUGCCUGCAAACUUUUGCACAGUUACUAUUUGACAACUUGGGAUUCUUAAAACGCUUCCGAAUCUUCUCAUUUAUUGCUUCAAGUGUCUCAAGCUUGCCAUUUCUCUCCAGUGAUGCAAUAUAUCUGUGGAGAUAGGCAUAUAAGCUUCCUUCUGAUAUUUCUGGGCUUCUGAUCUCAGGCAAGGUGAAUAUUUCUGGCCAUAAGUUUCCCUGUUCCAUGAAUAAUGUGAACAUCUUCUCCAAUUGAUGCUCAGAGCUGCUCAAGGCACCAGAGCCAGCUUGAUGCAUGGAUGAUACAAGGGCCUUGAUGAACCUCCCCAGGGCUACUGGUACAAGAUCUUCAAUGCACAAUGAAAACCUUUUGUCUGCCCGAAGAGAUAUAAAAGCACGAUCCAGGGUACCAAUGUCUCCAGUUU